UUAAAUGCUAAUCCUGGGUAUAUGUGUAUGCUUAUGCGUGGGAUGUGAGGAGAGAAAUCCUUGGAGGUUUGGUUGAAUGAAAGCGAAAACCCGAGGUGUCGUUCAUUAGGUGCUCGGACGUAUGGGCUAAAGUGUAGCUCGACGUUGUGCUUAUAGUUUCCGAGUUGAAUUUAAUUUUGGGUGAAUUCCUUCGCUAUCUAUAAUUGUCAGCUUGAA
This 216-nucleotide long non-coding RNA is filed under the name Zea mays. RNAcentral describes it as "long non-coding RNA NONZMAT004054". The record is from RNAcentral. Lineage: Eukaryota; Viridiplantae; Streptophyta; Magnoliopsida; Poales; Poaceae.